UAAGACCACGUAGGUUUGAUCCUGGCUCAGGACGAACGCUGGGCGGCGUGCCUAACACAUGCAAGUCGAACGGAACUUCUUUAAAGGAUUUCUUCGGAAUGAAUUUGAUUAAGUUUAGUGGCGGACGGGUGAGUAACGCGUGAGUAACCUGCCUCUAAGAGGGGAAUAACAUUCUGAAAAGAAUGCUAAUACCGCAUAAUAUAUAUUUAUCGCAUGGUAGAUAUAUCAAAGAUUUAUCGCUUAGAGAUGGCCUCGCGUCUGAUUAGCUGGUUGGUGAGGUAACGGCUCACCAAGGCGACGAUCAGUAGCCGGUCUGAGAGGAUGAACGGCCACAUUGGGACUGAGAUACGGCCCAGACUCCUACGGGAGGCAGCAGUGGGGAAUAUUGGGCAAUGGGGGAAACCCUGACCCAGCAACGCCGCGUGAAGGAAGAAGGCCUUCGGGUUGUAAACUUCUUUUACCAGGGACGAAGGACGUGACGGUACCUGGAGAAAAAGCAACGGCUAACUACGUG
Molecule: ribosomal RNA, 514 nt
Filed under: uncultured bacterium
Lineage: Bacteria
Description: bacterial SSU rRNA
Rfam family: Bacterial small subunit ribosomal RNA
Source: RNAcentral